GCAGGAUCCAAGCAGCGUCUGUGACCUAUACCAUAGCUCAGGGCAACACUUAACCCACUGAGCAAGACCAGGGAUUGAACAGGCAACCUCAUGGUUCCUAGUCAGAUUCGUUUUCCCUGAGCCAAGAUGGGAACUCCCCCUGCUUUUUUACAUUUUUAAAUGUUAUGAAGUACUUUGAUAAAACACACAGAUCCUGGAAAAUAUUAUCAUUAAACUGGACUGGAUUGCCUAAAAUUUUCACUAUCAUGGCUUAAUUUAUGUAAAAUAGUUCCUACACAAACACAGGGGUAAUUUUUCCUUUAUGGCCUAUUUCCUUUUCUUUCUUUUUUUUCCUGAUUCCAACCUUAGAAUAAGAAUUACAUUUUUUCAUUUCUGAAAUAAUCAUUAAUUUCACUCAUCAUCUUAACCAAAUAUGUGCCAUGUUAGUAUUUUUACUUAUUCAUUUCUAUUUAUUUAAUUCAUGAAGUUGGUGGUUGUGGAUGAGAUCUUUUGGAAUAUUUUGAGAAAUAAAUAAAACAACUCUAAAGCCUGAAUUAACUCCCCAAAUUGUCACAUAAUUUUCUCACUUCCUGAAAUACUGCUUUUGAAGAUAAGCACAACCAGGUAUUCAACCCUAGAAAGAUGAAAAGGAUGUGCAGAGCUUGGGAGAUUUAUGCUAAUUCCUGGACCUCAUUAGCAAUAUAGGACUAAAUCAGGCAGCAACUUUACUUACUUUGGUGCAUAUUUUAAUCCCAAAACUGGUUCCUGGUAGUAUGGAAAAUAAUUUUCUAAAUUAUUAUAUCAAUUUGUAAUUAAAACAAGAUAUAGAGGGGGGAAGUGUUUUGAUAAUUUCUCAUUUAUUGGGUAUUUUAGAGCAAUCCAAAAUAUAUCUAAGGAAAUGCAUGCAAACAAAUUCCUAGACAAAAUAGCAGAAGCAAUCAUUUAAAUGAAUUCUAUUUCACAGUUUUAAUUCUUUUCAGUGGCUUAAUAUAGAUUUUUUCCACCUACCAUUUACUCCUUCAAUCAAUUUAUCUGAAACUUCCUCCAUCCUUUAGUAGCUGCUCUUUGAGCAGAUAAAAAUUAAUUAACAUUGCAUGUUUUAGCUGAAUAUGUGUGAACUCUUGCUCACUCCUCACACCAGUUAACACCAGGCUGUUGUUCUGGCAAGUGUUAUAGUGACUAAGCAAUACUAUGGUCAGAAUUUUUAUACACAUUAUAGGGAUGUGUGUGAUGCAUUAUAGCAAAACUCCACCAAUUGAACUAAUCAACAUCAUUGUUCCCUUCCCAACAUAUCCAAGAGAAAUAUUAUCACUUCAUUUUACUUAUUUUCAAUGCAUUUUAUAUUUCCUAAGAUGUUACAUCCUAUAAAAUACCAUUCAGUUCCUUUCAUUUUCUCAUGCUUUUGAAAGGCAGUUUUGUAGUACGCUCAAUAUUGUGCCUCUAGAUAUGGUAACCAGACUAAAUCCUGUGAAAUGUUUCUUUGUUCAUGCCAUAGCUAGGAGUAAGGCUCUAUGCAAGAUACAGGAAUAAAAUAAAAGAAUGUGCAGAGAUUUAAAGUUGGAACUAAAACAAUAGAUCACUAACUAUAUGAAUUUCAAAAUGAUACUUUAUUAUACAUAUCCAUCUAUCUAUCUAUCAUCUAUCACUUUAUUUUUCCACACUGAGAUACAAUUAAUAAAUAAAAUUGUAUAAAUGUGAGGCAUACAGCAUGAGGAUUUGAUAUAUGUUACAAAAUUAUUACUGUGAUAUAUUUUAUACAUCCAUCACCACAGUUAUAUACCUAUAUUACAUAUAAAUGUAUUUUUAUGUGUGAUGAGAAUAUUUAUGAGUUGUCUUACAAGUUUAAAGCAUACAUUUCAGAAUUGUUAACUGUGGUCACCAUGUUGUUCAUUAGCUCCCCAGAAAUUAUUCAUCUUAUAACUGCAAAUUUGUUUCCUUAUUCAUUUAUUUUGCCAUUUUAAUUUUUGAGCUUCUGGCAUCAACUAAGAAUCAGACAUAGUUCCCCUCCCAAGGGAACUCAUAAGCUAGUAAAAGACAUAGCUUUGAGACAAGGAAGCUAAAAUAAUGGCAAAUAUGCAAUGUUACAUGUUGAAAGAGCAGUUCAAACUCAAAGGAGAACAGUAAGUGAAUGAAAAAGGGGAUUAUAUUAUAUAAAUUACAUAAACAUUUUAGUUAUGAAUAAUUUAAUUAUUAUUACAUAACUUUCUUUUAAGUUUCAAAAAGAAACAUGUAUCUUUUAUAGCAAUACUGAUUUUUAAGUGUAGUCUGGGUGCUUAUGUUAACUGCUAAAUUUACAUCUCAUAAAACAGUGUUGAAUGAUUUAUAGACAGUAUGAAAGUCUGAUAUUUUAAACACAUAUUCUUAGUUUUGAUGCUUUUUUCUUAUCUCAAAGAUAAGAAUCUAGAAUUUAUACUGUCAGUUGUCUUGUUACUUUGUGCCUAGCACAACUCAUAAAGUUGAGAUUGGAAAUUAAUGAUGUUCACAACACAGUCUCAGUUUUUUAAUUCUUAAUGUUCAAACUGGCAGAGAUGAAAGUUGAAAAAUGAGAUCUCCUCUGUUAUUUAUUUUAAUUACUCUUUUCAUGGCUUACAUGCACAAACCUGAAUUUCACUCCGUCCAGUUUACUUUAUCUCCUCAGUAAUAUUUUAAUUAAGUAUGUUGAGAUCAACUUUGUAUUUCUCAGACUUCUAUGAUGACUGCCUUUCUUGCUCAUCUUUUAUAUGCUUACCGACUAGACCCACAUAAAGAGGAAAAACUACAUCUGAAUAUCUUCUGCCCAGAAAUGGAGUUUCAUAUGCAGCAGCUGGCUGAAUGCAAGUUUCUGAGCAAAUGAUUUGUGAUUGGAUUUACCUCUCCUUUAUGGACUCUACCAUUGGUUUGAGUACUCUGUUCAAUUUGAGAUUAUAAAAGCCUAAAAGCAAUCAUAAGGUGAAUUUCAAUAAAUGGAAUUUAUUAUGAAUGUGAACGAUAAUUUGAUGGCAGCUUUAAAUUGUAAGCACUCUUUCAAUUGUAAACAUAUCCAAAUUGCUUUGUUUUCCUCAUAAGAGAUUCAGCACCUCGAAACAAAGAUUUGCUAUAAAACAAGUUCUCCAGCAAACAUCUGCUCCCUGUCUCUAAAGCCCUGAGACAGGUGAAAUAGAACUCUGGCUAUAUAAGCUAUGUUUUAAAGCUUUGGCAAUGGAAAAAAUAAUAAUUCUUUACAUUUGUAUUGGUAAAAGGAUUAACAUUUUUCUUUGAAUAGUAAAAACAUCAGACCUAUUUCAAAUACGUUUAUUUAGUCUAAAAUACUUGCUUGGUUCCAAUAAAAAUCUAAAACUAUAUAAAUCUGACUGAAAUAUCUGAUGGUUCUAUUUUUAUUCUGCUGGAAUAUUUGUGUGUUUAAUUUCUGGUGAAAUUCACCAGGUAUUUAUACUAAAAAUAUGUACAGAGAAUCUUUGCUCUGGAGGGUUCUAUGAUGUAUAAAUAUUCACUUGUCAAUAUUUAUAGAAAUCAGGAGUUCCCAUGAUGGCUCAGUGGUUAAGGAAUCUGACUAGAAACCAUGAGGUUGCGGGUUCGAUCCCUGGCCUUACGCAGUGGGUUAAGGAUCCAGUGUUGCUGUGAGCUGUGGUGUAGGCUGCAGAGGUGGCUCGGAUCCCACAUUGCUGUGGCUGUGGUGUAGGCCGGAGGCUGCAGCUCCGAUGAGACCCCUAGCCUGGGAACCUCCAUAUGAUGCACCUGCAGCCCUAGAAAAGACAAAAAGACCAAAAAAGAAAAAAAAAAGUAUAUAUAUAAAUGAAGAUUGUUAAGAUACUAUGCAAAAAUAGUACAUGAACUAACAAGUAUGAAAUGUAUACACAUUACUAGUGACCAGGUAAAUGCAUUGAGCUGUUGUUAUAUAUUCACCAGUUUAACAAAAGGUAAGGUGUGAAGUAUAAACCAGGCAAAAGAAUGUGGAACUAACUGUAACUCUUAGGCACUGCUAAAGAAAGUGUGAAUUCUUACAAGCACUCUUGAAAACCAUUUAAUGUGUUGUAGUAAAUAUGAUGAAGAUACAUAUACACCCAUGACUUGACAAUUCCACCACAAUCUUAUACCUUAGAGCAACUCUGUUGAGUAGGAAUAUAAUGCAAGCCCAUAGGCAAAUUUAAAUUUUCUAGUAACCACAUUAAAAAAAAUAGAUGAUACACAUUUUAAUAAUGCAUUUUAUUUAAAUCAAUAUAUCUAUAAUAUUGUUAUUUUGACAUGUAACCAAUUUAAAAGUAUAAGAUAUUCUAUAUUUUUUGUAUUGUCUUCAAAAUCAGGUAUCUAUUUUAUACUCAGAGCAUACCUAAAUUGAAACAAAUCCCACAUUUCAAGUACUUAAAAGCCACUGUGACCAGUGUUCACUGUAAUGAACAUGCAAACCUGGAAAAUACCUCACAUGUGCAUUAGGAAGUGUGCAUGACAAUAUUCAUAUUGACUCUGUCGAUAGUCUAUAUUCGUCUGGACUGAGUCAGCACCAAAGAGAGCCUAUGGCAGUGACCCCAUGGAGGGAUUUUAAAAUGGAAAGCUAUUUAUGUUGGUGUGGGAAGUGCUGAAAAAGUCCCAAAUCAAUCAAACAAACAAAUAGUGAGCCAAUCCAGAGAUGAAAAACAGCAGUAAGCUGCUACAUCUCUCAGGCUGAUAUGAUGAAAGGAGAAUGUGGUAUCUUUUAUGAAGCCCAAACUCCUUAGAUUUGCUUACAGAACUUUUAAUGAUCUUCCCCUUUAUGUUUCUCCAUUUUCAAUCCCCUCCCCCAAUUCCUUACUCUCUCCAUAUCAAUCUACAGGCAGUUCCCAGAAUAUGCUCUUUGCUCUUUUAUUUCAUACUUGUGUGCCACUGUAUAUAUACUGCAAGUUGCCUGAAAUACUCUUAACAACAUUCAUCUUGAUCCUCCUCAUCGAUUACCAUCUGCUUUCUCUAACUUCAGGCAGAUGUAAACUUGCUCAAUAGGAAGAGUGUGCCUAUAUUCUACUUACCCCUCAGUUACCAUGCUGGGUUACCCACACUUCUGCACAACCAUAGCACCCCUAGGCAUACUCUGAUUUAAACUUCUCAUGUCUUUUUAUAACAUUAGUCUUACUUCCUCUACUGUGUCAUAAAAUAUUUGAGAGUAUUUCAGUAAUAUCUACUUGCAUGUUUACCCUACUUGCAUGUUUAGGUAUGAAAACAAUAUUUAGGAGUGACUUGAACAAUUGAGAUGUUUAAAAAGAAAAAAAAAGUAACACAAACAUGAUUUUGCAGUGGAAAUCUUUCCAAAAUUAUAUUAGUUGCAACAAUUUGACCUAUCUCUAAUGCUAGCCAGAUCAUGAUUAGCUGAGACAAAGUGUAAUGAAAACUACAGAUAAUCAAUGUAAUUUGCACACUGUAAUUUAAUUUAGUAACUAUUAAUUCUUCAUUUUUUAUAUCUAUAAAUGCAUAAUUCAUCAUAGUUCAUGUAUUAAAAAUAACAUAAACUGGGAAAUUAUUUUUAUGGCAGUAGAGAAAUAAUGAAUAUUCAACUUUCCUCGCAGCUGUGACAGCAAUCCAAAAAAAAAAAAAAA
Molecule: long non-coding RNA, 5519 nt
Filed under: Sus scrofa (pig)
Lineage: Eukaryota; Metazoa; Chordata; Mammalia; Artiodactyla; Suidae
Description: lncRNA (ENSSSCG00015017025.1)
Source: RNAcentral